UAGGGAAUCUUCGGCAAUGGACGGAAGUCUGACCGAGCAACGCCGCGUGAGUGAAGAAGGUUUUCGGAUCGUAAAGCUCUGUUGUAAGAGAAGAACGAGUGUGAGAGUGGAAAGUUCACACUGUGACGGUAUCUUACCAGAAAGGGACGGCUAACUACGUGCCAGCAGCCGCGGUAAUACGUAGGUCCCGAGCGUUGUCCGGAUUUAUUGGGCGUAAAGCGAGCGCAGGCGGUUAGAUAAGUCUGAAGUUAAAGGCUGUGGCUUAACCAUAGUAGGCUUUGGAAACUGUUUAACUUGAGUGCAAGAGGGGAGAGUGGAAUUCCAUGUGUAGCGGUGAAAUGCGUAGAUAUAUGGAGGAACACCGGCGGCGAAAGCGGCUCUCUGGCUUGUAACUGACGCUGAGGCUCAAAAGCGUGGGGAGCAAACAGGAUUAGAUACCCUGGUAGUCCACGCUGUAAACGAUGAGUGCUAGGUGUUAGACCCUUUCCGGGGUUUAGUGCCGUAGCUAACGCAUUAAGCACUCCGCCUGGGGAGUACGACCGCAAGGUUG
RNAcentral lists this ribosomal RNA (550 nucleotides) under uncultured bacterium. RNAcentral describes it as "bacterial SSU rRNA". It matches the Rfam family "Bacterial small subunit ribosomal RNA", at positions 355 to 896 of the family's 1533-position model. The record is from RNAcentral.